Gallus gallus (chicken) is the source of this 1857-nucleotide long non-coding RNA. The record is from Ensembl. NCBI's taxonomy places the organism in Eukaryota, Metazoa, Chordata, Aves, Galliformes, Phasianidae.
AUCCACAGACGUCUGCUGCUCACCUAAGCUGCUGAAAGGCGUCCAUGUGCUGCCCAGGAAACCUGGUGAUGCACAGAAAGCUGAGCAGCAUUAUUGUCUGCUAAUAACCUCCUCCUCACCUGCUAUUCUCCCUGCUGAUUUUUUUCACCCCCCAUCUAAGGGAUGUAAAUGCACAAGGGCAAAAGGACAAACAAGAAUCAGGAAAACCUGCAGAUUUGCAGCAGAAAAUGCCUAUUGUGGAGUGAAAGGGAUCUGCCAGUCUUUGUCUUCAGUAAGACUGAAAAGGAUUCCUCUCCAGUCCCUAGUGCACUAUACUGAUGUCCUUUUCUGGAAUUGUGGAAACCUGUAACAGCUUUAGAACGUGUCACAAGAAUUUCACAGCAAGCCUGUAGAUUUCCAAUCACAUACAGUUUACUUUCAUUCUGGAAUCAAACUGAGGACAGUAUGUAAUAGUGCUUGAGAAAUUAUGGUCUCCAAGGCCUGGAGGACACCCAACCCAGCAGAUGUGAGACAGUCAGUGCAGCAGCAGUGCAAGGAUCAUUGCAUGCACUAAUACUCUUGUGGGCUGUUCCGACAUAAGCGGUUGUUUGGAGGCUUUGGGCCACGUUUCUCCCCGUUGUGGGCCAUCUGUGUUGAAAAUGUGUCCAGAAUUGAAGGUUACCUCUUUGUCACCAGGAAACAGGAAAUAAGUUUGAGAAACAUCUGUUUUUCACCUUGGAUGAUUUUGUUAACUUGGAUGCAACAUUUUGCAGCUGUUUUUCAUUCUACAAACUUUGGAGAACAUAUGAAUUGUGAUUGGAAAACCAUGGUGCACGUCUGUGUGUGCAUUCACAUCCACUGGAAUUGUGUACUAUGCUGUAUUUGUUCCUACAUUCCAUAUACAAAGUUAUUUAAACCAUCAAGACUUGAAAGCAUGUCACCAAGAAGAAAGAAAUCGCCAACCUCCACAGUGUUCUGAAGGCAGUGAUUUCCAUCAGCGUUAUAGAGGACUAUCAAUGUUAUCUUCCCAAACUGUGGGAAGCAAGGGAAACCUACAGGCAUAUGUGAGUUACAUGGAAAGCAAACAAACCCUUCAAAAGCCUGGUACCCACCACCAAGUGCUCCAUGUUUUGACUGAACUGCUCUGUCAUUUUGAGAGAUGUAUUGAUUCAGGCAUUUUCUCUUGAAAAGUGAAGGUUCUUGAAGGUUCAGGUUGCCCAGACUCAGCAGCAUGGCACUUCAUAGUGUUGCGUUUUGAGUCACCUCACUGAAAGUGCUAUUGCAGACCAAAGUUUUGGAUCUACUGAGUAGAUGUAUGUGAACCUAGACUUGUCACUGGUACUCAGCAUGUGUGUUUUUACCAUGAGCUGCUUCAAAAUACAGAUAAAUUGUACUGAGUUACAGGCAAGCCUGGGGAUUUAUCAGAGUAGACAGAACAGUAUUUAGAACAACUGCUGUUUUUCUGGCAAUGUGUGUGUAUAUCCUGGAAAUUACAGUUUUUUACUUGCAGAUGGAGCUUGUCCAAAUACUGAAAACAUCUCUGUAUCAAGCAUAACUGAACUUUCCGUUUAAUUCUUCAUGGCCAGUUUCCAUUUUUUCUUGGCAAACUUGUGAUAGCCUAUGUGACCUUCUAAGUCACUAAAUCUGGCUGACUUUUAAACAAAUAUCCUUUUAAACAAAUAUCCUUUAAAAAAAAGUCUAGGAACAUUUCACUGUGACUGAUACACAUCUGUGACUGUACAAUUCAUUUCAAUGCAUCUAGUCCUAUUCAGCAUAUACAUAGACACUGCCUUGCACUUUAACUGAAUUGUAUUGUAAAAAAUAUUUUCCAUUUAAAAGACUGUCUGAGUUCUUUCAGAUAUUAAAUCUCUCACAAAG